This 77-nucleotide transfer RNA is filed under the name Rhodocollybia butyracea. It matches the Rfam family "tRNA". From Rfam's summary of the family: Transfer RNA (tRNA) molecules are approximately 80 nucleotides in length. Their secondary structure includes four short double-helical elements and three loops (D, anti-codon, and T loops). Further hydrogen bonds mediate the characteristic L-shaped molecular structure. tRNAs have two regions of fundamental functional importance: the anti-codon, which is responsible for specific mRNA codon recognition, and the 3' end, to which the tRNAs corresponding amino acid is attached (by aminoacyl-tRNA synthetases). tRNAs cope with the degeneracy of the genetic code in two manners: having more than one tRNA (with a specific anti-codon) for a particular amino acid; and 'wobble' base-pairing, i.e. permitting non-standard base-pairing at the 3rd anti-codon position. The record is from Rfam by way of RNAcentral. Lineage: Eukaryota; Fungi; Basidiomycota; Agaricomycetes; Agaricales; Omphalotaceae.
GGCCGCCUGGCGAAAUGGCAUCGCGUCUGACUACGAUUUGUAAUCAGGAGAUUGCAGGUUCGACCCUGCGGCGGUCA